This 364-nucleotide unclassified non-coding RNA is filed under the name soil metagenome. RNAcentral describes it as "partial contains 5.8S ribosomal RNA, internal transcribed spacer 2, and large subunit ribosomal RNA". The stretch from base 1 to 120 matches the Rfam family "5.8S ribosomal RNA", at positions 35 to 154 of the family's 154-position model. The record is from RNAcentral.
GAUGAAGAACGCAGCGAAAUGCGAUAAGUAGUGUGAAUUGCAGAAUUCCGUGAAUCAUCGAAUCUUUGAACGCACAUUGCGCUUCCUGGCAUUCCAGGGAGCAUGCCUGUUCGAGCGUCAUUGAAAAAGCCUUCGGGUGAGCUUUGGCUCGCCCGGUCCUGGGGGGAUGGGCCAUCUUCCGGAUGCCCACCCCCCGAAAUCCAUUGGCGGACGACCACCGGAGGAACUGCUGGCGUAGUGAGCGAUGCUUUCGCCAGUGGCCACCGAGGGACAGUCCUGCCAACAUAAACCCCCCACAUCCAAAGGUUGACCUCGGAUCAGGUAGGGAUACCCGCUGAACUAAAGCAUAUCAAUAAGCGGAGGA